GAACGUGUGGGAGGUACAGUGGAUGUUCCUCGGCCACAAUAGAGAAUACUCCCUGUCACUGGCAGCCAAAAGCUUGGAACCAGAAGACAUUCUAUACAUUGAAGUACUCCAGUCGCAGAAAGACAAAGACGGUGUGGUUACGAAGUCAGCGUGGUGGGUCCUCCUCAGAAUCCAAAGCCCAUGGGGCAGGAUGGACCUGAGAGGGCAGGACAGAAGAGAGCACAACAGAAGAUUCCGGAGCGUGGUACUGGAGCACCGGGAUGCGUUGGCAGGUGUGACGCGGGUGACGUGUGCGGUCCUCAGAGCCCGCACCCUCUGAGAGCCACCCUCCUGGGAUAUUCAGAAACAACCAGUUUGGGAUGACGGCACGAUCACGUUUGUGUUUUCACAAGGUCAACCUGGACCCACAGGCAGGGCGUCAGCCAUGGGCAAAUGUGACAUUGCUCAUCAACUCUUUCUGGACCGUCCCUUCCCCUCUGCUCCCCACCCCGACCCCAUCCCCUGACCCACAAGUGCCUCAAACCAACAAUGCUCGAGGCUGAGCCUCUCGUCCACCCUUGGGCGUUGAGCUCCUCAUCACACCCUCCACCCAGACCCAGGACAACAAACCUGGCUGCAGGAAAAUGUGGCCUUUGCUGUCCCUCCGAGGCCCGGGCUUAUUUCAAAGGAAACGAAGAAUGACUCCGUAGUGAGAAUCAGAAAGGUUCGUGUGAAACAAGAGUUUGACGCCAUGGAUACGCGGCUUCAGAUGUCACCUUGUGGCCUGGACACUGGGCACCCAUGUCUAGAGACACCGAAGUUGCUCUGUCUGUGUCUCUCAAUGAACUUAAACUUCUCGACCCAGCCCAACCUGGGAGACCAGCAUUUAAGAAGUCUGAGCUGGCCAUCCUGCCCGCCAUGGUAGCUCUAUGUGGAGGGGACAGAAGUGACUCCGCAGUGAGAGACUCGAACACAAAAUCCUGUGCAUGGGAAAGCAGAUUCUCUGGCCGGUCAUUUUCCACCAUUUCCAUCUGCUGUCCCAGGCGUGGAUAUUGCCCAGAGUUGUGCUGAUACAACAGUAGCCACAUUUCAAUUAAAUUAUUUGAUUUAAAUUUAGGGGAAAAAAACUACAUUUGAUCCCCCAGUUCCAGUGGCCACAUUUUAAUGAUUCAGUGGUCACAGGUAGCCAGUGGGCACCACACUGGGCAGAGCAAAUCAGGUGCAGCUGUCCAGGCAGAGUGCUUCUGACCACUGCAGGGUGACCUGCAGCUGCUGUGGACUCUCAGCUCUGUCCAAUCCCAGGGAUGUGCCUGGGGGAAGUCACAGGGCAAAGGGGCAACCAAACGUGUGUCCUCUUAGGCCAGGGCAGGAGGGUCCCAGCGCUGGGUUCCCGGAUCCACUGCGUGAUGAGCCACUUCUCCAGCAUCCUGGCCUCCGUUUCCUGCUGGUGACAUUGUUAAAAUAAACGUUCCCCUAACCGGUUCCUGGGGGAAAACGGAACACUCUCCAGUGGUCAGCUCUACCAGGUCACCAGAGACCGUGUGUCUUAGGACAGACACAGCUUAUGCUUCUCAUGAGAGGGGGUCAGUGGGGGUUGCCUGGGCAGUGAGGGUCAGUGGGGGUCACCUGCUCUGCUUAGACCUGCCCCAGGUUUGCUCCUGCGCCAUGUCCACUGGCAACCGGUGUGGGUGGCACACUUGGCUUCCCUGGCUCAGGCCCCAGUCUGUGUCUCUCUCCUUCCCUCCAGCCACCUGGUGUCCAUCACCCACGCCCCUAGAUGUAGCCCCAGGUCCCAAGACAGUGGGUGAAAGCUGCCCGGUGUCUUAGAGCCGAGGCCCAGGACUGGCACUAUUACUUCGGCCACAUUCUCUUGGUCAAGCAAGUCCCCAAUAAGCCCAGAUUCACGGGGAGUGGGGUGAGGACAGACCCCACCUUUCCACAGGGGCACAUGGGUGUCUGUAGCAAUGGCAGGGACUGUUGGUGGCUGGACCUUCAGACUUCUACCACAUCAGAGCAGCCAGCAGUUCCUCAGUUUAGGACAUGAAGGUAGAAAAGCGGAAAGCCCACGGGCCUGGGCAUCCUCAGAAACAAAACGGUGUGGAAUCUUCUGGAGGGUUCACCUCUGUACGCUUUAUUAUGGACAGAACGACUGCACCCCCAGAUUCAGGCACUGGAAUCCUCAACUUCA
This 2167-nucleotide long non-coding RNA is filed under the name Marmota monax (woodchuck). Lineage: Eukaryota; Metazoa; Chordata; Mammalia; Rodentia; Sciuridae. The record is from RNAcentral.